GUCUUUUUGUUUAUAUAUUUAAAGUCUAACCUGCCCAAUGAAAUUUUAAAUGGCCGCAGUAUUUUGACUGUGCAAAGGUAGCAUAAUCAUUAGUUUUUUAAUUAAAAGCUAGUAUGAAAGGUUGGACGAGGUAAAAUCUGUCUUUAUUUAAAUUGAAUUAGAAUUUAAUUUUUAAGUUAAAAAGCUUAAAUUUUAUUAAAAGACGAGAAGACCCUAUAGAUCUUUAUAAUUAAAUAUAUAAAUUCAAUUUAGUUAAAUUUUAUUUUUUAUUUUUUUUAAUUAUUUUAUUGGGGUAAUAGAAAGAUUUAAAUAAUUCUUUAUAAUUUUUACAUAUAUUUAUGAAUAUAUGAUCCAAUUUUAUUGAUUAAAAGACUAAGUUACCUUAGGGAUAACAGCGUAAUUUUUUUUGAGAGUUCAUAUCGAUAAAAAAGCUUGCGACCUCGAUGUUGGAUUAAAAAUUAUUUUAGGUGUAGAAGCUUAAAAUUUUGGUCUGUUCGACCAUUAAAUUUUU
RNAcentral lists this ribosomal RNA (511 nucleotides) under Haliplus mucronatus. RNAcentral describes it as "partial 16S ribosomal RNA". The stretch from base 388 to 511 matches the Rfam family "Bacterial large subunit ribosomal RNA", at positions 2473 to 2597 of the family's 2925-position model. Lineage: Eukaryota; Metazoa; Arthropoda; Insecta; Coleoptera; Haliplidae. The record is from RNAcentral.